Long non-coding RNA from Oxyura jamaicensis (ruddy duck), 173 nucleotides. RefSeq lists it as uncharacterized. The record is from RefSeq and is a predicted model, not a curated record. Lineage: Eukaryota; Metazoa; Chordata; Aves; Anseriformes; Anatidae. The transcript is spliced from 3 exons.
AAGUUCCAUCACAAAGGUUAAGGUUGGAAAUUAGGAGACAUUUCUUCUCAGAAAGAGUAGUCAGGCAUUGGAAUGGAUUGCCCAGGGAGGUAGUGGCAUCACUGUCCCUGGGGGUGUUCAAGGAAAGGUAGGAUGUGGUGCCUAGGGACAAUGGGUUACUAGAUGAAAUUUGU